AAYGACUCUCGGCAACRGAUAUCUCGGCUCUCGCAUCRAUGAAGAAYGUAGCGAACUGCGAUACUUGGUGUGAAUUGCAGAAUCYCGUGAACCAUCGAGUCUUUGAAYGCAAGUUGCGCCCGAAGCCAUUAGGMCGAGGGCACGUCUGCCUGGGCGUCACGCA
RNAcentral lists this ribosomal RNA (163 nucleotides) under Swertia decora. RNAcentral describes it as "5.8S ribosomal RNA". It matches the Rfam family "5.8S ribosomal RNA". From Rfam's summary of the family: 5.8S ribosomal RNA (5.8S rRNA) is a component of the large subunit of the eukaryotic ribosome. It is transcribed by RNA polymerase I as part of the 45S precursor that also contains 18S and 28S rRNA. Lineage: Eukaryota; Viridiplantae; Streptophyta; Magnoliopsida; Gentianales; Gentianaceae. The record is from RNAcentral.